AAGUUGCAUCAGUACAGCGACACCGUUUCGCAACCAAUGACGGUGCCUGCUGGCGAUGACAACGAGA
RNAcentral lists this small nucleolar RNA (67 nucleotides) under Leptomonas pyrrhocoris. Its description in RNAcentral is "Trypanosomatid snoRNA TB11Cs5H2". It matches the Rfam family "Trypanosomatid snoRNA TB11Cs5H2". Lineage: Eukaryota; Euglenozoa; Kinetoplastea; Trypanosomatida; Trypanosomatidae. The record is from Rfam by way of RNAcentral.